This 484-nucleotide ribosomal RNA is filed under the name uncultured bacterium. RNAcentral describes it as "partial 16S ribosomal RNA". It matches the Rfam family "Bacterial small subunit ribosomal RNA", at positions 30 to 507 of the family's 1533-position model. The record is from RNAcentral.
AUUGAACGCUGGCGGCAGGCCUAACACAUGCAAGUCGAGCGGAUGAAGGGAGCUUGCUCCUGGAUUCAGCGGCGGAUGGGUGAGUAAUGCCUAGGAAUCUGCCUGGUAGUGGGGGAUAACGUCCGGAAACGGGCGCUAAUACCGCAUACGUCCUGAGGGAGAAAGUGGGGGAUCUUCGGACCUCACGCUAUCAGAUGAGCCUAGGUCGGAUUAGCUAGUUGGUGGGGUAAAGGCCUACCAAGGCGACGAUCCGUAACUGGUCUGAGAGGAUGAUCAGUCACACUGGAACUGAGACACGGUCCAGACUCCUACGGGAGGCAGCAGUGGGGAAUAUUGGACAAUGGGCGAAAGCCUGAUCCAGCCAUGCCGCGUGUGUGAAGAAGGUCUUCGGAUUGUAAAGCACUUUAAGUUGGGAGGAAGGGCAGUAAGUUAAUACCUUGUUGUUUUGACGUUACCAACAGAAUAAGCACCGGCUAACUUCGUG